UCGGGACUGUAAUGGUAAGAGCUGCAGGAGUGCCAGGUGUGUGUUCCAGUCCCCAGCAUUUGGUUUGCACAUGUCCUGGUCAGACACAGGUCCAACUUCCUCAGUCCUUAACCCAGUAGAGGGAGAAUGAAGGACUGGCACUGUUAAGGUGAUUGGUGUGACAGGGGUGAAACUGGGAAAACAUUGGGGAAUUCCUGAGUUUCUCUCUUUGCCAAACUCACCCAAACCUCUGCUAGGAAGAGAUGGACUGGAAAAGUUGAGGCAGAAAUGAAAUGGAAAACUGGGGUUGUUGAAACUGUAAUUGCUGGAACUAAAUGUGUCCAAGCAGCAGCUCUUGUUGUGCAGGGAAUAACUCCUGUCAGCAGCAAGGUCCUGACUGAAGUGGCAGCUGCAGUUGUUCCUGUGGUGUGGGCCAGUGGAAUUGCAGGAGAGUGGAAGAGGGCAGAACCUGUAGGUAUUACCCCUACUGUGGGAUCUCUCCUGGUAAGGCAAACCCAGUAUCCUUUAAAAUCAGAAUGCGAGACUGGAUUGGUUGCAGUAACAGCUGAAUUUGCUCAUCCUGGUUUGCUUGUAGGACGUGAAUGCAAGAACCUGCCAAGAAACCAAUGACCAAGAUGAUUGAUGAGUGCAGGAUCUGAGAGAAGCACCUUGAAUGACAACCUCGAGCAGUUUCCACUAUUGGAUUGCAAAGAUGGCCUUUGCUGCAUCUACUUGAGCAAGGAAAGCCAAGAAACCUUUGCUUUUGAAGGAGAAAACCUGGAAAGCAGGAAGGAAGAAAAGAAACCCCCUGACUCCUCCCUCAGCCCCAGACAGCCCAUGAACUGCCUUCCUGGGAAUGGUAGGACGGGGUGGACUCUGGAUUGCUCCCUCUGGAUGUGUGGAACUCCAGGAACUCCUGGUGCCGCCUGGGCCGAUGGAUUGGACGCCCCAGCCCCUCCGUUCCUGCCCAGCCACUGGGUCCGUGUCCAGUGGUGGCACUGCCAGCCCUGCAGUGGGAUGUAGCCUGGAAAGUGCACAGAGCUGAGCCAAGGGAUUGAAAGGGACCAAGCAAGGGAGGUGAAGAAAGAAGGAAGAAGGAAGUGAGGCAGCAGGCAAGCAGCAGCAAGUUGCUGUGUAAGCAGUGGGAUGUACCCUAGAAACUCCAUGGAGCUGAGCCAAGGGAUUUAGAGGGACUAAGCAAGCGAAGUAAAGAAAGAAUGAAGAAGGGAACUGAGAGAGCAGCCAAGCAGCACCAAGUUCCUCUACAACCAGGAGAAAAUGGGGAAAGCAGAAAGGAAGAAAAGCAGCCCCCUGACUCCUCCCUGAGCCCCAGACAGCCCAUGAACUGCCUUGCUGGGAAUGGUAGGACGGGGUGGACUCUGGAUUGCUCCCUCUGGAUGUGUGGUAAGACUGUUCUGCCAACUUUUCCAACAGCCUGUAAGCAUUUGCUGCCUUGGCUAGAUGGUGCAAGGGCAGCCUUUAAGCAGCUGAAGCAUUCCCUGAGGAGAGCUCUGGGUCUGCCAUAUGUCUCAGAACUGUUGGAAGCAUCUUUGGUGGGGAGGGCAAACAAAGGCCAAGGUGUGCAGUGACCCCCCUGAGAAGGGACUUUGAGUUAAUGGCAUCCCUGCAAGUGAACUUUGUGGGCUGUUCCCUCUGUAGGGCAGGUGACAGUCCCAGCUACAGUGAUGGGGAAAAAUGGUUAAAAGGGAGCCCCAAAAGCUGGAAAUUGCCCUGGAGGCUCUUGGCCAACAGAGUUUCCUGAGUUCGCCCUGCAAGAAGGACAGUGAUAGCUUUUGAGUGCUGGUAGAUCCUUUGAAUAGAUAGCCUUGAGUGUGUCCUUGUUGCCCCAGUAGGCCUUGUCAAAGUCCCCAUAUUGCAGGGGAUAUACAUGUU
Long non-coding RNA from Pseudopipra pipra, 1872 nucleotides. RefSeq lists it as uncharacterized. The transcript is spliced from 5 exons. Lineage: Eukaryota; Metazoa; Chordata; Aves; Passeriformes; Pipridae. The record is from RefSeq and is a predicted model, not a curated record.